RNAcentral lists this ribosomal RNA (855 nucleotides) under uncultured bacterium. Its description in RNAcentral is "SSU rRNA". It matches the Rfam family "Bacterial small subunit ribosomal RNA", at positions 524 to 1381 of the family's 1533-position model. The record is from RNAcentral.
UACAUAGGGUGCAAGCGUUGUCCGGAAUUAUUGGGCGUAAAGAGCUCGUAGGACGUUUGCCGCGUCGAUUGUGAAAAUCUGAGGCUCAACCUCAGACCUGCAGUCGAUACGGGCAAACUAGAGUGUGGUAGGGGAGACUGGAAUUCCUGGUGUAGCGGUGGAAUGCGCAGAUAUCAGGAGGAACACCAAUGGCGAAGGCAGGUCUCUGGGCCAUAACUGACACUGAGGAGCGAAAGCGCGGGGAGCGAACAGGAUUAGAUACCCUGGUAGUCCGCGCCGUAAACGAUGGGCACUAGCUGUGAGAGCCUUCCACGGUUCUCGCGACGCAGCAAACGCAUUAAGUGCCCCGCCUGGGGAGUACGAUCGCAAGAUUAAAACUCAAAGGAAUUGACGGGGCCCCGCACAAGCAGCGGAGCAUGCGGCUUAAUUCGACGCAACGCGAAGAACCUUACCAAGGCUUGACAUAUAGCGAAAAGUGGCAGAGAUGUCAUGUCCGCAAGGGCGCUAUACAGGUGGUGCAUGGUUGUCGUCAGCUCGUGUCGUGAGAUGUUGGGUUAAGUCCCGCAACGAGCGCAACCCUCGUUCUGUGUUACCAGCAUUCAGUUGGGGACUCACAGGAGACUGCCGGGGUCAACUCGGAGGAAGGUGGGGAUGACGUCAAAUCAUCAUGCCCCUUAUGUCUUGGGCUGCACGCAUGCUACAAUGGCCGGUACAAAGUGCUGCGAAAUCGUAAGAUUUAGCGAAUCACAUAAAGCCGGUCUCAGUUCGGAUUGAGGUCUGCAACUCGACCUCAUGAAGUCGGAGUUGCUAGUAAUCGUAGAUCAGCAACGCUACGGUGAAUACGUUCCCGGGGCU